This 217-nucleotide long non-coding RNA is filed under the name Rattus norvegicus (Norway rat). Its description in RNAcentral is "long non-coding RNA NONRATT010670". Lineage: Eukaryota; Metazoa; Chordata; Mammalia; Rodentia; Muridae. The record is from RNAcentral.
CUUUAUAAACUAGGUUCUACUCACCAUUAAUAUGUGGCUAAAUUAGCUUUUCCUUAAUGGAAACAAGAAAGAGAGGUGUCUUAUUCUAUGUGGACCACAGUAACCAAUGAAAAGGAAACCAAAACAAAGUGUUCAAGGCGUUGAAGGCCAUGCACAAGGAACAAGAAAUAGGUUUAGAACUCAUGAACUAUGGCCCACUACUUAGCACAACCAUGCU